This 578-nucleotide ribosomal RNA is filed under the name uncultured bacterium. Its description in RNAcentral is "bacterial SSU rRNA". It matches the Rfam family "Bacterial small subunit ribosomal RNA", at positions 102 to 676 of the family's 1533-position model. The record is from RNAcentral.
ACGGGUGAGUAAUGUCUGGGGAUCUGCCCGAUAGAGGGGGAUAACCACUGGAAACGGUGGCUAAUACCGCAUAAUGUCGCAAGACCAAAGAGGGGGACCUUCGGGCCUCUCACUAUCGGAUGAACCCAGAUGGGAUUAGCUAGUAGGCGGGGUAACGGCCCACCUAGGCGACGAUCCCUAGCUGGUCUGAGAGGAUGACCAGCCACACUGGAACUGAGACACGGUCCAGACUCCUACGGGAGGCAGCAGUGGGGAAUAUUGCACAAUGGGCGCAAGCCUGAUGCAGCCAUGCCGCGUGUAUGAAGAAGGCCUUCGGGUUGUAAAGUACUUUCAGCGGGGAGGAAGGCGAUAAGGUUAAUAAUCUUGUCGAUUGACGUUACCCGCAGAAGAAGCACCGGCUAACUCCGUGCCAGCAGCCGCGGUAAUACGGAGGGUGCAAGCGUUAAUCGGAAUUACUGGGCGUAAAGCGCACGCAGGCGGUCUGUUAAGUCAGAUGUGAAAUCCCCGGGCUUAACCUGGGAACUGCAUUUGAAACUGGCAGGCUUGAGUCUCGUAGAGGGGGGUAGAAUUCCAGGUGU